RNAcentral lists this unclassified non-coding RNA (387 nucleotides) under soil metagenome. RNAcentral describes it as "partial contains 5.8S ribosomal RNA, internal transcribed spacer 2, and large subunit ribosomal RNA". The stretch from base 1 to 120 matches the Rfam family "5.8S ribosomal RNA", at positions 35 to 154 of the family's 154-position model. The record is from RNAcentral.
GAUGAAGAACGUAGCGAAAUGCGAUAAGUAAUGUGAAUUGCAGAAUUCAGUGAAUCAUCGAAUCUUUGAACGCACCUUGCGCUCCUUGGUAUUCCGAGGAGCAUGCCUGUUUGAGUGUCAUGAAAUUCUCAACCUUUUCAGCUUUCUUUGUUGAUCAGGCUUGGAUGUGGGAGUAUGCGGGCUUCUCAGAAGUCGGCUCUCCUGAAAUGCAUUAGCGGGACCUUUGUUGCCUGGCUUUGGUGUGAUAAUUAUUUACGCCAUUGUAGUCAAGCAGCUUAAAAUGAGGUUUCAGCUUCUAACCGUCUCCCCUGAGACAACUUUUUGACAAUUUGACCUCAAAUCAGGUAGGACUACCCGCUGAACUUAAGCAUAUCAAUAAGCGGAGGA